This 468-nucleotide ribosomal RNA is filed under the name uncultured bacterium. RNAcentral describes it as "partial 16S ribosomal RNA". It matches the Rfam family "Bacterial small subunit ribosomal RNA", at positions 28 to 507 of the family's 1533-position model. The record is from RNAcentral.
GAUGAACGCUGGCGGUGUGCUUAACACAUGCAAGUCGAACGGAAAGGCCCUGCUUUUGUGGGGUACUCGAGUGGCGAACGGGUGAGUAACACGUGAGUAACCUGCCCUUGACUUUGGGAUAACUUCAGGAAACUGGGGCUAAUACCGGAUAGGAGCUCCUGCUGCAUGGUGGGGGUUGGAAAGUUUCGGCGGUUGGGGAUGGACUGGCGGCUUAUCAGCUUGUUGGUGGGGUAGUGGCUUACCAAGGCUUUGACGGGUAGCCGGCCGGAGAGGGUGACCGGCCACAUUGGGACUGAGAGACGGCCCAGACUCCUACGGGAGACAGCAGGGGGGAAUAUUGCACAAUGGGCGGAAGCCUGAUGCAGCAACGCCGCGUGCGGGAUGACGGCCUUCGGGUUUUAAACCGCUUUCGCCUGUGACGAAGCGUGAGUGACGGUAAUGGAUAAAGAAGCACCGGCUAACUACGUG